Molecule: ribosomal RNA, 253 nt
Filed under: uncultured bacterium
Lineage: Bacteria
Description: partial 16S ribosomal RNA
Rfam family: Bacterial small subunit ribosomal RNA
Source: RNAcentral
UACGUAGGGUGCAAGCGUUGUCCGGAAUUAUUGGGCGUAAAGAGCUCGUAGGCGGUUUGUUGCGUCGGCUGUGAAAUCCCGAGGCUCAACCUCGGGUCUGCAGUCGAUACGAGCAAACUAGAGUGUUGCAGGGGAGACUGGAAUUCCUGGUGUAGCGGUGAAAUGCGCAGAUAUCAGGAGGAACACCGGUGGCGAAGGCGCACACCUGGCCCGAUACUGACGCUGAGGCGCGAAAGCUAGGGGAGCAAACGGG